GCCUUCGUGGUGUAAUGGUUAGCACACUUGACGCGUAUUCGACAGAUCCAGGUUCGAGUCCCGGCGAGGGUA
Molecule: transfer RNA, 72 nt
Filed under: Stegodyphus mimosarum
Lineage: Eukaryota; Metazoa; Arthropoda; Arachnida; Araneae; Eresidae
Rfam family: tRNA
About the family: Transfer RNA (tRNA) molecules are approximately 80 nucleotides in length. Their secondary structure includes four short double-helical elements and three loops (D, anti-codon, and T loops).
Source: Rfam by way of RNAcentral